UCCGUAGGCGGGCAAUUAAGUCAGAGGUGAAAUCCCACAGCUCAACUGUGGAACUGCCUUUGAUACUGGUUGUCUUGAGUUACAGUGAAGUAGAUAGAAUAUGUAGUGUAGCGGUGAAAUGCAUAGAUAUUACAUAGAAUACCGAUUGCGAAGGCAGUCUACUAACUGUUAACUGACGCUAAGGGACGAAAGCGUGGGGAGCGAACAGGAUUAGAUACCCUGGUAGUCC
This 229-nucleotide ribosomal RNA is filed under the name uncultured bacterium. Its description in RNAcentral is "partial 16S ribosomal RNA". It matches the Rfam family "Bacterial small subunit ribosomal RNA", at positions 568 to 796 of the family's 1533-position model. The record is from RNAcentral.